This 471-nucleotide ribosomal RNA is filed under the name uncultured bacterium. RNAcentral describes it as "partial 16S ribosomal RNA". It matches the Rfam family "Bacterial small subunit ribosomal RNA", at positions 28 to 506 of the family's 1533-position model. The record is from RNAcentral.
GACGAACGCUGGCGGCGUGCUUAACACAUGCAAGUCGAACGAUGAACCCGGAGCUUGCUCUGGGGGAUUAGUGGCGAACGGGUGAGUAACACGUGAGUAACCUGCCCUGGACUCUGGGAUAAGCGUUGGAAACGACGUCUAAUACCGGAUAGGACCUUGGAUCGCAUGAUCUGGGGUGGAAAGUUUUUUCGGUCUGGGAUGGACUCGCGGCCUAUCAGCUUGUUGGUGAGGUAAUGGCUCACCAAGGCGUCGACGGGUAGCCGGCCUGAGAGGGUGACCGGCCACCUUGGGACUGGGACACGGCCCAGACUCCUACGGGGGGCAGCAGGGGGGAAUAUUGCACAAGGGGGGAAGGCCGGAUGCAGCAACGCCGGGGGGGGGUUGACGGCCUUCGGGUUGUAAACCGCUUUUAGGAGGAAAGAAGGGCUUGGGUUGGACGGUACCUGCAGAAAAAGGACCGGCUAACUCCGU